Molecule: ribosomal RNA, 231 nt
Filed under: Salmonella enterica subsp. enterica serovar Tennessee
Lineage: Bacteria; Pseudomonadati; Pseudomonadota; Gammaproteobacteria; Enterobacterales; Enterobacteriaceae
Description: partial 16S ribosomal RNA
Rfam family: Bacterial small subunit ribosomal RNA
Source: RNAcentral
UUAAAUUGAAGAGUUUGAUCAUGGCUCAGAUUGAACGCUGGCGGCAGGCCUAACACAUGCAAGUCGAACGGUAACAGGAAGCAGCUUGCUGCUUUGCUGACGAGUGGCGGACGGGUGAGUAAUGUCUGGGAAACUGCCUGAUGGAGGGGGAUAACUACUGGAAACGGGGGCUAAUACCGCAUAACGUCGCAAGACCAAAGAGGGGGACCUUCGGGCCUCUUGCCAUCCGAU